UCUUGCACUCAUUGUAUCACAACCCUAAUCAGAUUUUGAGGGUCAUUGAGAGUGAGAAAGAAAGCCUUCGUCAAGGUAUUCUCCACAUGAGUUUGUUUUGUUGACUGAUGGGGGAGAACCUGAAUGAUUUGGAGAGGCUAUUGAAGAUGAAAGCAAAGCUCAAUGGCUUGAAGCUAUGCAAGAAGAAAUGAAGUCCUUACUUGAGAAUGAUACCUAUGAGUUCGUAAAGCU
Non-coding RNA from Arachis ipaensis, 231 nucleotides. The record is from RefSeq and is a predicted model, not a curated record. Lineage: Eukaryota; Viridiplantae; Streptophyta; Magnoliopsida; Fabales; Fabaceae.